Molecule: long non-coding RNA, 1001 nt
Filed under: Gossypium barbadense (sea-island cotton)
Lineage: Eukaryota; Viridiplantae; Streptophyta; Magnoliopsida; Malvales; Malvaceae
Description: long non-coding RNA (GBAR_LNC021960)
Source: RNAcentral
UUUUUUUCUUUAUUCACAUCGUAAAUAUAACAAAAUCUAAUAUCUAUUAACUUUAUCUAUAUAUAAAUAUAUAUUAAUAUGCUUAAACUCAAAACUCAUACUGUAAAGCCCAAAAUCUGCCCGGGCCCAUACCAACAAAAUAACCCAAAUAAUAAACCCAAAAUUAACAGUCCAUUUACAAACUCAAGCCCAAACCCAAAUAAAAAAAACCUAGCCCAGGACUAAAAUUUUAGCAGCAGAAAACCUUGGCUUUUCUUUGCGCCGCAUGCCUCCUCGUCUGCCACUCCCAGCGCCGCGUGCUCUGUCAGGCACCUCCUCGCAUGCUCGCCGCCACCGUUCGCCUAUCACUGGCCCUUCACGCGUGUCAGACCUCCUGCAAGAACAAACAACAGUCCAAACAACAAAACGACAAAAGAAGAAAAUUUAGGUCCUGUAGAUACUCGCACAACAUCCCCUAUUCAUAAAUCCGCGCCCGCUUUCAUACAAUUAAUUUCUUUUUUAAAUCGGCUAUAAAAGGCCGAAUCAAACGAUUGUAUGGGUUCUACUACUUUUUUUACGAACACACAGAUAUUGGAAUCAAAAAAUAGAAAAACAAGAUUUAAAAAGGUUGAUUUGAAUUGCUUUCUCUUCAUUUUUUUCUUAUCUUUUGCGUAUUUAUUUUUUUAUUUCUGCAAAUCAAUCUUAAAAAUAAUCAAUAGCAAAAAAAGAAAGGAAAAGAAGCUACCUGAAUCGGCCCUUAGGCCCGCUGUCGAUGGUCCUCCACCGUCGCCGGACUUGGGUUCAAGGAGGGGCCAAAGCUUUUCUCUUUCCCUUUGUUUCCCCGUUCCAUAGCCUCGACCUCUGAAUGCGCUUCAAUGCGCCGAUAGUAGGCGCCCUCGCAUGGCUCCGGCCACCGGGCAGUGAGGAGGCGUGACGGCGGCGGGGUUCCUAACCUUGGAACCCUAGCAGAGAAAAGGAGUCUCCCUUUUGUUUUAUUUUUGUUUUUUUUUUUUGUGUGUUCU